ACGUUACUAACGACGAUAUGCUUUGGGUAGCUGUAAGUAAGCGUUGAUCCAGAGAUUUCCGAAUGGGGGAACCCAGCAUGAGUUAUGUCAUGUUAUCGACAUGUGAAUUCAUAGCAUGUCAGAAGGCAGACCCGGAGAACUGAAACAUCUUAGUACCCGGAGGAAGAGAAAGAAAAAUCGAUUCCCUGAGUAGCGGCGAGCGAAACGGGAAGAGCCCAAACCAACAAGCUUGCUUGUUGGGGUUGUAGGACACUCUAUACGGAGUUACAAAAGAACAUGUUAGACGAAUCAUCUGGAAAGAUGAAUCAAAGAAGGUAAUAAUCCUGUAGUCGAAAACAUAUUCUCUCUUGAGUGGAUCCUGAGUACGACGGAGCACGUGAAAUUCCGUCGGAAUCUGGGAGGACCAUCUCCUAAGGCUAAAUACUCUCUAGUGACCGAUAGUGAACCAGUACCGUGAGGGAAAGGUGAAAAGUACCCCGGAAGGGGAGUGAAAGAGAACUUGAAACCGUGUGCUUACAAGUAGUCAGAGCCCGUUAAUGGGUGAUGGCGUGCCUUUUGUAGAAUGAACCGGCGAGUUACGAUCUGAUGCAAGGUUAAGCAGCAAAUGUGGAGCCGCAGCGAAAGCGAGUCUGAAUAGGGCGUUGAGUAUUUGGUCGUAGACCCGAAACCAGGUGAUCUACCCUUGGUCAGGUUGAAGUUCAGGUAACACUGAAUGGAGGACCGAACCGACUUACGUUGAAAAGUGAGCGGAUGAACUGAGGGUAGCGGAGAAAUUCCAAUCGAACUUGGAGAUAGCUGGUUCUCUCCGAAAUAGCUUUAGGGCUAGCCUCAAGUGAUGAUUAUUGGAGGUAGAGCACUGUUUGGACGAGGGGCCCCUCUCGGGUUACCGAAUUCAGACAAACUCCGAAUGCCAAUUAAUUUAACUUGGGAGUCAGAACAUGGGUGAUAAGGUCCGUGUUCGAAAGGGAAACAGCCCAGACCACCAGCUAAGGUCCCAAAAUAUAUGUUAAGUGGAAAAGGAUGUGGCGUUGCCCAGACAACUAGGAUGUUGGCUUAGAAGCAGCCAUCAUUUAAAGAGUGCGUAAUAGCUCACUAGUCGAGUGACACUG
This 1109-nucleotide ribosomal RNA is filed under the name Staphylococcus epidermidis. RNAcentral's name for it is "partial 23S ribosomal RNA". It matches the Rfam family "Bacterial large subunit ribosomal RNA", at positions 56 to 1161 of the family's 2925-position model. The record is from RNAcentral. Lineage: Bacteria; Bacillati; Bacillota; Bacilli; Caryophanales; Staphylococcaceae.